UUGCUGUGCAAAAGCUUAUAGGCUUGAUUAGAUCCUAUUUGUUUAUUUUGGCUUUUAUUUCUAUUGCCUUGAGAGACUGACUUAAGAAAACAUCAUUAUAAUUUAUGUCAGAGAAUGUUUUGACCAUUCUCUCUUCUGGGAGUUCUAUGGUGUCCUGUCUUAUACUUAAGUCUUUAAACCAUUUUGAGGUUUAUGGUGUGAGGCUAUGUUCUGACUUCAUUAAUCUACAUGCAGCUGUCCAACUUUCACACCACCACUUGCUGAAGAGACUGUCUUUUCUCCAUUGUAUAUUCUUGCAUCUUUGUAGAAGAUUAAUUGUCCAUAGGUGCCUGGAUUUAUUUCUGGGCUUUCCAUUCUGAUACAUGAUUCAUAUGUCUGUUUUGUGCCAGUACCAUGCUGUUUUGAUUACUGUAGCUUUAUUGUAUUGCCUGAAGUCUGAGAGGGUCAUGCCUCCUCCUGUAUUCUUUUCCCUCAGGAUUGCAUUGGUAGUUCUGAGCCUUUUAUGGUUCCUUAUAAAUUUUAGGAUUAUUUGUUCUAGUUCUGUGAAAAAUGUCAUGGGUAAUUUGAUAGAGAUUGCAUUAAAUCUGUAGAUUGCUUUGGGUAGUAUGGCCAUUUUAACAGUAUUAAUUCUUCCAAUCCAAGGGCAUGGGCUAUCUUUUUAUUUCUUUAAAUCAUCUUCAAUUUCUAAAGGAACAAUUCUUAAGAUAGUUGAGGACAUUUGCUCUAUCAAACAAUCCUCUCUUCACCCCCCAAGCCUUCAGUUCUUCCAGUUGAAUGCCUCCCAUUCUUUAUUAUUAUUAUUUUUUUCUAAUUUAACCUUGUUGCCCUCCUCUGGAUGGAUUGCAAUCUGUCAGUGUCUCUUUUCAAGGUACCAUGAAUGGAACAUAGCAUUCCAGGUAUGCAGGUAGGUCAGUACAAUCCUCUCUUUGUCAUGCACUCUACAUUUGCAUUAAUGGAGGGUAAAUACUGGGCCCUUUGGGCAACUUUGUUUUAUCAUUACUUUCUUGCCAUAUUCUCAUCCAUUCAGCUACAUAGGUAUUCAACCAGCUGGGAUAUUGUGGACUAUAUAUCCCUCCAGUGUCUCCAAAAGCGAAUGCAGAAAGAAUUUGUUAAAUGCCUUGCAGACAUUCUGAUAUAUUAUGUACAUUCUGAUAUAUCAUGUGGACAAAAGUACGUUAUUUUACCUAUCUGCAGUCACAAUCGAAACAGCAAUUGCUAUUCAUUCUUCAAGAGCUUACAUUGACUCCUGCUGGUCAUCUUCCCCCUGUUCUAAGGCACAUGGAUCUUCCUGUUUUAGAUUCUGUGCUGGAUCACCACCAGGCUCAUUAGGCUCUCAUUGUCAAGAACCACCUGCUUCUCCCCCUUUAAAAAAUUGCUUCCUACCUUUGGUUACCUCUGGUUUUCUGAUAUCACCUCUGUUUUUCUGAUCAUCAAGAGGAUUACCCAAAGCAGUUCAAGCAUCUCAUUGUAAAAUGCCUGAUUUUGUGACAUGUAAUUUUUAAUGCAUUCUUUAUAGAAGUCACUCCCUGUAGAAGUUAAUACAUAGGGGUAGAUGUUGAAAUGAAGACUCCCAAAUAACAGUGAAUUAAGAAAGACACUCUCCUACACCCUACACCUCAGUAAUAGCCCAGAUGUAAGCAGUCCUGUCCACAUGAUAGAAUCCUUCAGUCCUGCUAUAGAGUUGCAUCUCUACAGAGUGGCCCUUGCCCAUGUGGUUCACAGUGGCUCAUCUUAUCACCUCAGAUGCCAUAUAUGAAGCAGGGAGGAGGAAGGUACAUACUUUCUGAGUACAAACUCGAACUUGCACAUGGUGUUUCUAUUUAUAUUCCAUUAGCAAAAGCUCACAGACGUGGACAUCCAGCUAAAAAGGAGGCUUGGAAAUGCUGCUUUUAUAUCAGCUAUAAUGUAUCCACCUAAAGAUCUGAAGCUCUAGUUCUAUAGGAAAAGACAGAUAUUGAGAAAAAUUUUAAGAUGGAUAUUGAGGAAAAUUUAGCAGAGUCUGCCAUACUCCUUUCUGUAUCUCUUAAGGAUCCCUCCAUUUUCUCAGAUGUGAAACUAAAGAGUCAAGUCUACUUUUUCUAUGUCUUUUAUGGUCACUCACAAAUCCUGUUCUUUUUUCAGUAUUUUAAUCAAUCCUAAAAAUAUUUUUUAGCCAUUCCUUUUUUUUUCUAUUUUUCUCACUUAUUGCUAUCUGAAUACAGACUCUCAUCCUUCUUUGGUUUUGUUAGUACCAUCCAGACAUCCAGAAUGAUCAUCUUCCAUCUGCUGACUGCUUAAUAGGAAGGGAUAAAGACAAAUUCUCUCUAUUGGCAAACGGUGAUGGACAUAGUUUUCUGCUGCCCUGAAGGCUGCUGCCUAUUUAAGUUUGAAAGGGGAACGAGUGGAACAGAUGUUCUGACUUGGUCCCUCUUCAGGAGGAAUAAGGAGUCACUGCUUCUGCCGCUAUGACCUUUAUGCACAUUCAACUAAUUCCCAAUGACCCUGGCCCAACCCCACUUUCCCCCAGAGAACUGUGCUCCACCAGCUGAUGUCAUUUUUUUUUUUUUUUGCCCCCUUUGGGGAACUUUUUCCAUUUUGUCAUUUCUUGACCAGAUUACAAGAGCCCAUUAACUUGUUUCUCCGAAAACAUACUGUCCUCCUCUAAUCCAUUCGGUUCUAAGCCAAAUCCAUCUCCUUCAAAUACUGAUUUCAUUUUCAAAACUCUUCUACUUAAAUAUUUCUAAAUGGUGAGUCAUUUGUCACAGCAAGGAUGGCAAAUGCAUGAUGCCUUGUUCAAGGCCACCCUCACGAAUCAAGAUACCCUUUCCUGGGCAACCUGGAUGAAGCUUGAGAAUCCUUUUUCCACAGUUGGUACUGCCAACUGAUUGGAAUUGGCAUGGGAGAUCAAUCUUAUUUAUCACCCAGGCAACAAAAUUAUUUCUAAAAGUUGGACUUUAACAGUGCUCAUGGAUUAUGAGCCCCCAAAUCUGCUGUUCAACAUAUGCCAGAUCCUCUUUCCUCAAACAGAUCAUAAAUUCCUCCUUCUGUUUUUGCUUUUUCAUUACAUGCCUGGGUUCUGCUCACAGAGUUAGGGUGGAUAUGGUUUGCAGGCAUCCUCACGUCAAAGAGAUGUUGAAGGUGUUGAAGCCUGAGCUGAUGGAUGAAGGAAACCAAGCCAGAAGGAAAAUCUAAACUCAUCAAGUAAGGCAGUGCAAGGCUGUAAUUAGAAAACCGGUGCCAGGUGUGAAAUCUAAGGAGCAAGGCAAGGUCACACAUGGAGAAGCCCGAGCCCAGGAGCCAGAAGGAAGGGAAGCAAGUCAGAUUGCAGAGUGCAAGUUGGGACAAGGCAAAUGAUUCAGAACUAAGCUUGUGGAAAUACUUCUUGGAACUGUCAGAACAGCCUCUGUGCAGGAUCAGCCGUUCACACAGAACCAUGCAUGUAAUAUGCAUUCAUGCAGAGAUAAGCAUAAACAUAAAGUAAUCCCUUCUAAUCCUAUGUUGAAAUGCCAUGUUGAACUAGACAUUUCUGUAGUUUCUCCCAGUCUCUUUUGUCCAGUUUUACACAAAACUAUUGACUGCGCAACUUCCCUUUAAAUUCUGGUAUCUCUAGAUGUCUUUAAGAUUGUGUUUAAGGCAGAGUGGAGAAGGUAGCUCUCGAUAGGCACUAACAAUAAAGCAGACCCUAAAACAGGUGGUAGAUGGGAACAAGACUGACUCCACCGAAGGUCUUUUACAGAUUAGACCCCCAUGAAGCCAUUGUUGCCUCUCGGCUUCUGCAAAGCUGAGGGACAGUCCUUCUGCCACAGCUGCCUUUGCAAAAAUUAACAUCUUGUUCCUGCCAAGGAAGCAGGUGACAAGCUCAGCAGCACUCUUUCGAUUUGCUUUUCUCCAUGGCACGAACACGUGCCCCCUGAAUAGGCAGUCAUUUGUAUAAACAGGAGGACUGCAAAAGCCAAGGCAAGGAGAUGAAGGUGAGUCAGGGAGAGGAAAGCAGCACCUGAGAGCUGAAUAAAACACCAAACAGCCAGGUGAUGGAAACAAAGCCGGCCAGCAUUCACCCAAGUGAAUGGAAGCAAGUUGACUCAUGCGGCUCUGGGAACAACUAAGAGUGUUUGCAUGCACAUGAUGAAUCAUCUAAUGCGUAAGUCAAGCCACAAGCUAUAAUUAAUCUUGUGUGUUAAAACACAUUCGAGUAUUUUGAACAUGAGCUAAUGAGGUUCACCUGUAUGAUCAUGCAGCCCUCAGAGCUGGGUAAGCACAGCAAGGACAAAGGUGGAAUCUGGAGGUGCCCUUUCCUUGUGGCCUGUGGUUUCAGCCACGUGAUGCUCUGUGUGGGGUGUGAACAUUGGCAGUAGAGGGGGCCGGAUGGUGUUAAGGCCCCCACCCCAAGCUGCCCUCAAGUCCUCCUUUCUUUACAGUGCUGACUGGGAGAGUGCCUUCUGGAUACAGGGACUAAAAGGGCUCCUUAUGGUUCUUCCAGUUUGCAGUGGACUUGCAUACCGACUGUGGAAUGGACCAUGCUAGGAUGACCAGCUGCUGGUUGGUAUUGGAAAGAUUGGUAGUGGUCAUUUUUGGUUUUGGCAGGCUAACAUCUAUUCCACAGUCCCUUAAGAGUAGCGCCUGGUUCCUUUUGAAGAUUGAUUUCUCCCCCAUGGGCACAGCUUGAUAAGCCUAUAAUCCAGAGGCCCUACUCUCCCACAGCUGUGGAGCAGCCACAUGGCCCAUGCCAUUCAUUUAAUUCAGCAGUAGCGCCCAGGAGAGAAAGCCAGGUGUUCUUGACACUGUGAAGAUCUACGAGGUUGCCUUGGUGACAAGCUUGGUUCUCCAGCCAUUUCUUAAUUUUGUUCUGCGGGUCUAUGCUUUUUGGCUGUUUCCUAUCCUUCCCCAAUCCCCUUUUUGCUUAUGUUGCCAAGAGUUUGUUUCUGCUACAUGUAACCAAAGACUCCUAAUUGGUAUAGAUUCAUGUACCCAAAGUUUCCACUACAGAUGUUCAAGGGAAUGGAGAUUAUUGGUAAAUUUGGCAAAUUGGUUAUGUCUACGGAUUUUACAAGGCUCAUUACACAAAGGCUUGUCUUCCUUACCAUCCCUGCCUUGAAGUUUCUCUUCUGAUUAAUUUAUUUCAAAUCUUUCAUCAAAUAUUACCCAAGUUAAAUCAUCUGAAACCUUGUUUAUUCACAAGUGUCUUUCACCCUGACAGGUCUUGGAGGGGUAAGGGUGGGGCAGUUGGUGGUAUUUUGUUUCUUAUAAUAUGUACUUAACUAUCAGUGUGUAAAAAGAAAGGUAAUUAUUUGUGGAAUAGAAAACUCCAGUAAAACAUCCAAAAAUAAUGGAGAAGAAGAAACAGCUAAUAAUAAUCAUAUGUGAUUGAAUUAAAGAUACCAUCAGUUGUCAGAAACAUUCUCAUUUUAUAUGCCAC
This 5395-nucleotide long non-coding RNA is filed under the name Sus scrofa (pig). RNAcentral describes it as "lncRNA (ENSSSCG00000054130.1)". Lineage: Eukaryota; Metazoa; Chordata; Mammalia; Artiodactyla; Suidae. The record is from RNAcentral.